This 459-nucleotide ribosomal RNA is filed under the name uncultured bacterium. RNAcentral describes it as "partial 16S ribosomal RNA". It matches the Rfam family "Bacterial small subunit ribosomal RNA", at positions 338 to 795 of the family's 1533-position model. The record is from RNAcentral.
CCUACGGGGGGCAGCAGUGAGGAAUAUUGGUCAAUGGCCGAGAGGCUGAACCAGCCAAGUCGCGUGAGGGAAGACGGCCCUACGGGUUGUAAACCUCUUUUGUCGGGGAGCAAAGCGAGUCACGUGUGACUCAUUGAGAGUACCCGAAGAAAAAGCAUCGGCUAACUCCGUGCCAGCAGCCGCGGUAAUACGGAGGAUGCAAGCGUUAUCCGGAUUUAUUGGGUUUAAAGGGUGCGCAGGCGGAGGUGCAAGUCAGCGGUCAAAUUGCGGGGCUCAACCCCGUACUGCCGUUGAAACUGCAGCCCUUGAGUGCGCGAGAAGUAUGCGGAAUGCGUGGUGUAGCGGUGAAAUGCAUAGAUAUCACGCAGAACUCCGAUUGCGAAGGCAGCAUACCGGCGCGCAACUGACGCUCAUGCACGAAAGCGUGGGUAUCGAACAGGAGUAGAUACCCUUGUAGUC